Molecule: ribosomal RNA, 515 nt
Filed under: uncultured bacterium
Lineage: Bacteria
Description: partial 16S ribosomal RNA
Rfam family: Bacterial small subunit ribosomal RNA
Source: RNAcentral
GAUGAACGCUGGCGGCGUGCCUAAUACAUGCAAGUCGAGCGAAUGGAUUGAGAGCUUGCUCUUAUGAAGUUAGCGGCGGACGGGUGAGUAACACGUGGGUAACCUGCCCAUAAGACUGGGAUAACUCCGGGAAACCGGGGCUAAUACCGGAUAACAUUUUGAACCGCAUGGUUCGAAAUCGAAAGGCGGCUUCAGCUGUCACUUAUGGACGGACCCGCGUCGCAUUAGCUAGUUGGUGAGGUAACGGCUCACCAAGGCAACGAUGCGUAGCCGACCUGAGAGGGUGAGCGGCAACACUGGGACUGAGACACGGCCCAGACUCCUACGGGAGGCAGCAGUAGGGAAUCUUCCGCAAUGGACGAAAGUCUGACGGAGCAACGCCGCGUGAGUGAUGAAGGCUUUCGGGUCGUAAAACUCUGUUGUUAGGGAAGAACAAGUGCUAGUUGAAUAAGCUGGCACCUUGACGGUACCUAACCAGAAAGCCACGGCUAACUACGUGCCAGCAGCCGCCGUAA